This 241-nucleotide long non-coding RNA is filed under the name Mytilus galloprovincialis (Mediterranean mussel). Lineage: Eukaryota; Metazoa; Mollusca; Bivalvia; Mytilida; Mytilidae. The record is from RNAcentral.
GCGGCCAUCUUGGUUGGUUGGGCGGGUCACCGGACACAAUUUUUAAACUAGAUACCCUAAUGAUGAUUGUGGCCAAGUUUGGUUUAAUUUGGUCCAGUAGUUUCAGAGGAGAAGAUUUUUGUAAAAGUUAACGACGGACGACGACGACGGACGACGACGACGGACGACGACGACGGACGCCGGACGCCAAGUGAUGAGAAAAGCUCACUUGGCCCUUCGGGCCAGGUGAGCUAAAAAAUAU